AUGCCCAGUCUGAAGCCAAGACUAGUUUAUGGCCAGUAGCCAUAGUCACAAGUGACAAGCUGCUGAGCCUACUCCAAAUGAAACAACCACAGGCCAUCAGAGCGUUCACUGAGUCCACUGGAUUAGCAAAGCAGGACAACGCCUUCUGUACCACCAUCUAUGCCAUCUAGUUAGGAGGCAGAAUCUCAGGACUAAUUGCUUCAUUUCUUCAUUUGGCCUUGAAAAAACAUUUCAUUAUUUGUUGUUGCCUGCUAUGUGGAAGGGACCAAGAAUAUCCUCUAAAACGGAAUCUGUUUUGUUUGGUGCUAUGGAGACCCUAGGGAGGAAAAAAUUUCUUUGAAAGAGGGGCUGUCAUUUCCAACUUAUCUUUACUACUCACCUCAAUGCUCGAGGAUCUCUCCACUCAUUCAUGAAGCGUAAUAAGGAGGACACGAAAGCUGGAGCUGGGGGAUGUCUGGCUAUUUUAUAUAAGAUGGCUGAGGAAGGCAGCAAAGGUAUUCAAGCCAAGACCUGAGGGACACGAGCAAGCAAGCCACACAGACGUGUGCAAGAAAGGGGAUUGCAGCAAACGUGAAGAGGAAGCUGCAGCGUGGUUUGUAAAUCAUGAAAGAUCAAGGAAGCUGUGAGGACACAAUGAGAAGAUGGCCAUCUGCAAGCCAGGAAGAGAGCCCUCCCUGAGGAACUGAACGGGCCAGCACCUUGGGCUUGGACUUCCAGUCUCCUGAACUGUGAGAAAAUCAACUUCUGUGUUUUACGCACCCAGUCUGGUAUUCUGUCAUGGCCGCCUGAGCAGACUAGCACAGUGGGUCAUGAUAUCAAUUUAGCAGUUCACGAUCAGCGUUUAAAAAAGGAAGAAUAGACUUUAAAGUGUCAGAAUGUGUUGCAUAUCGUAGGGUUAACAUCAUUUCAUGAAGUUUUUUGUUUGCAUGUGUGUCCUGGAUCGUGUUGUAAAAUGUAUUUCUUCUGAGGGUCUUGGUCUAAGGGUUAAAAACUACCUGCUUUAAACACCAAACAAAGGUGACUUUUGGCAACUAAGCUGAUGCACAGUGCUAACGCCUAAAAGCUUCAGCCCAGCAUCCUACAGCCGCGGGCAGGUGUGCACGGGGCUUGUGUGAGACCUGUGUUCAGCCGCCACACCAUGUGCCAGAAAAGCAAAAGCUUUAGAUUGUUCCGGACCUCCAGUCCCCUCUCUGCCUGGCGAUGGGAAAUAGGACUGACUCCUUUGACCUGAGCUAGUUACCCAUCCACACUGGAAUUCUGGACAAUUUGAGGAGGAGAGAGAAGUCUCAAGAGGCUUCUUGCUCAGUGAGGCCAUGACAAAAGUGAUAUAAUAAUAUCUACACCCCCAACUAGUUCUAAAGGUUAUGUUAGUUAAAAAGGUUUUCUUAAAGAUCUUGGAAAGGAGAAACCAGCAUCCUCAAAACUGUGUCAGAGACACAUUGUUUCUCAGUAAAAUUCCUUCCAAAGUGGAGGGGGCCAGGGGGCAGUGAGGAAGUCUACACUUAAGAAACCCAGAAAGCUUAUAGGCAGAAAUAGAUUAAUGACUCAGGGACUCGACCUCAGGGGGGGUUUCUGUGAUACGACAUGUAUGUGACACCUGCUGUUCUUAAUAACCUUCAGUUCUCUGAACUCUGCACUGGGACAAAGAGUAAAUAUGCCCACAAGCUUUUGUACUGGCAAGCCCAAAGACGGAAGCUCUUGUUUCAGCAGAGCCAAAUUCCCCCUUUUCCAACAUGCCUCAGGUAAUAGUGCCAGUACUGGUUGCGACAGCUUAGGUUUUUGUCCCAAAAUAGUUAUUAAGAAGACUGAUAUUAAAUGGAAUAAUUGGGGAAAACGUUGCCUCAGUUAGCUUUUCAGAAACUGUAGAGGGAAAGAGAGCAGAGGCAGCUUUGUUUGUGUAGAUUCAAAUUCCCCUCAUGUUUAAGUAUCGUCUGCCAUAGGUUCCCUAAAGAGAUGCAUAAAUCUUGUGAGACGAGACACUGCAUGAAAAAUCUCUCUUCCAGAUAAUGGUUAUGGUGGUUUUAAAACAUGACUUCAAAUUCUUUGGGACUCCUCCCAUCAAAAGUGGGGUGCUUGUGAAGAUAUUUCCAAGGACGUAGUUCCCUGGAAGGAAGAAGUUCUGCGCUCCAGUGGGACCUCAUCAGAUACCCCUCCAUCUCUCCAUCUCCGGCUCUCCAGGAUAUUCUUCACAGCCUCCUCCUGCUGUUGUCCCUCUGUCUCUCUACAUCUUGGGAUAAUGGAAAGAUGGCUUCAGAUCAGGCCUCCAUUGUGCAACUGGCCCAUCCAGAAACUCAAGAAACUUCCCUGUGCCCAAAGUGGAGAGAACUCUGAGGCUCUGGGGAGGCAGAAACACAAAAUGGAAGGAAACUGAACUACUGGAUGUCAUCUGGAAGGCCCACCCUCUGACCAGGAACACCAGCAUUAGACACUCAUGUGCAAUCAGAGGUUGGCUGGGCUGAAGUCAUCUGAAGGCUUGACUGGGCAGGACAUGGAAGAUGGUUCACUCAGAUGGCUGGCAGUUGGAGCAGGCUGUCUGCUGGGCUCAGCUGGAGCCAAUGACUGGCAAACUGACAUAUGUUCCCCAGCCUGGUCAUCUCAGAGUUGUCAGCUUUCUUACAGGGUGCCUAACUUCCAGCUUCCCCACAAUGUCAAUGCCAACAAAGGAGGCUGAGAAGCAGAGGCAAGGACUGGGAGCAAGGAUCCAGAGCGUGUUAUUGCAUGGAAGACCAGAGAAAGAAGUCAUCAAUGGUGCAAUGGUGCUGAGAUGUUAGGUUCAAGAAGACCAGAGGAGUGACGGGUGGAUUUGGCAACCUAGAGUCAUGGUUGGCCUCGACAAGAGUGGCCUCUAUGGAAUGUGGGGAAGAGGGGAAGAGAGAGAGACAGAGACACAUGAGGGCAGAAUGCCAUGUGACAACAGAGGCAGAGAUUGGAGUGAUGCUGCCACAAGCCAGCAAACCUCUGGGGCUACCAGAAGCUGGAAGAGGUGACUAUGAAGAAGCCAGAAUUAAAAUAGCUUGCAAGGGAGUGACUUUAAUAAUUCACCAAAGUGAACAAUUUAUUGUGGACUGGAGAUUUUGCUGAGAGGUCAACGAGCAGCUGAUGUGGAGUCCUGGAGCACCGGUCUCAGGAGUACCUCAAGGAUGGCCUUUGUGUCUCAGGACCAGGCCAGGCUAUAAAGAAGUUGCU
RNAcentral lists this long non-coding RNA (3186 nucleotides) under Equus caballus (horse). RNAcentral's name for it is "lncRNA (ENSECAG00000059946.1)". Lineage: Eukaryota; Metazoa; Chordata; Mammalia; Perissodactyla; Equidae. The record is from RNAcentral.